This 10169-nucleotide long non-coding RNA is filed under the name Vitis vinifera (wine grape). RNAcentral's name for it is "long non-coding RNA (VVIN_LNC001843)". Lineage: Eukaryota; Viridiplantae; Streptophyta; Magnoliopsida; Vitales; Vitaceae. The record is from RNAcentral.
UACCCUUUAGGUAUUCUCAAGAUUAAAGUCCUAAGACCACUAAGGAGAAAGAUCUCAUGAAGGCAGUACCUUAUGCUUUAACAGUGAGUAGCCUUAUGUAUGUAAUGUUAUGUACUAGACUAGACAUUUGCUUUGUUGUAGGAAUAGUGAGUAGAUAUCAAUCUAAUCCAGGCAUGAAGUAUUGGACGGUGGUCAAGCAUAUACUCAAGUAUCUUUGGAGAAUGAGAGAUUAUAUGUUGGUGUAUAUUGUGAUGAGUUAUUAACCCUUGGGUACAUGGAUUCGAACUUUAGUACGAUAAAGACUCUAGCAAGUCUAUCUUCGGGUUUGCAUUCACUUUAGGUAGUGAGGUUGUCAAUUGGAGAAAUGUGAAGAAAUCUUAUAUUACUAACUCCACUGUGGACUCCAAGUAUGUUGUUGCUUUUGAAAUAGUAAAUGAAAUCAUUUGGCUUCAAAAGUUCUUGUUGAGACUUGGGAUAGUUUCCUUAGUUGUAUCAUCCCUAGUACUAUUUUGUGAUAACAGUAGGGUAGUUGCAUAGUCUAAAGAACCAAGAAAUCACCGGAAGGGUAAACACAUAGAGAGAAAGUACCACAUGAUACGUGAGAUAGUAAUGAGAGGAGAUAUCGUUGUGGAGAAGAUAGCUUUUACAGAAAACCUUAUGGAUCCCUUCACGAAGACUUUAUCUAUUAGAGUCUUUGAUGGUCAUAGGGAUACCUUAGGUGUUAGAUAUGUUCCUAGCAUGUUUUAAGGAUAGUGGGAGUUUGUUAAUAUAGAACCCCUAGAGAGCAUGAUAUGAAGUAACAUAUUGAGAUUCAUUUAUAAAUUUAUUUAUUUAUUUAUGUUUCUUGUGAUUUCUCUUUAUUAUCCCAUAUACAUUAAUUAGUUAUCUGAACGUACACUCCCAUAUCACUUGCAUUGUACAUGACCUGAUGCAUUAAGAGUUGCCUAGAGGAUACCAAUUAUGGGUUCAUUGCGAGAUGAUAAGUUGUUCAUAAUCAAUUCAUGGAUUUGGGCAAUCCAAUAGAGAUUAUAGUGCACUACCUCCUAAUUGGAAGGAUGACAUGUUUUGGCUGUCAGGAUGGGUUUCCCAUGAUAAGUGUACUAGUGUGUACGGUUACACAUUGGAUAGGACCUAAGAUGAAUCAUGAGUAAGGCUAUCAGUUAUCAUGAUUCACCAUGCUACUAUACUGCAUGGACUCUCAACCUUGAGAAGGUGUUGAGCUUAUGUCAAAGUCAAGUCAACAAGAGGCUUUGACCUAUAGACAUGAUUUGAAAUAUUGGUAAAUACGGAUAUAUCGGUACUUAGAUUUUAUGGAUAUAUCGAAAAUAUCGAUGGAUAUUUUGACAAAAAUAUUGAUAAGGUGAAAAUUAUUCAAAAUUCAUGAAAAUAUUUAGAAAAACUCCAAAAAAUGAUAAAAUAAAUAAAAAUACACAUGUUAAGUUAUUUUCUAAGUGUAAUUGGCAUAGGUAUGAUCAAAGAGAAAAAUAUCGGUAAGUAAGGAUAUAUCGAUUAAUAAUUUAUUAUUUAUCUAAUUAAAUUAAUUUUAAUUUAUAAAAUUUUAGAACUUCAUUUUUUUUAUUUUAGUAUUUUUUUGAAUAAGUUUAUAUUUUUAAUAUUUUAAAAUAAAAACAUUCCAAAUUAAAAGAAUAAAUAUAAAAAAAAAUUAAAAGUGAAGUGAUAGUAAUUUUUUUAAAUAUGAUUAAUGAGAUAAAUGAUGAUACAUUUAAUAUUAAAACUAUAAUUUAUUUAAUUCAAAUGCAUUCAAUAAUGUAAAAUAAAAUGAUGAUGCAUAUAUGACUUUUUAAUAUUUAAUUAUCAUAUAAAUGAUAUUAAAAAAGUAUUAAGAAAAUUAUAAUGAUGGUUUUUAUACAUUUAUUAAUUAAAUAAAUAAAAUUUAUUUAUUUAUUUUUUAAUAAUGUACUUUAACAUAUUUAUUAUCAUCAUAUAUUAACAAGGGAAAACUUGGCCCAAUGAUAACCAAGCUUGAACCCAGGCUUUUUGGCCUGGGUUUGAAUCUGCCUUACAAUAACAUAAAUCGAACCUACCUAACAGCAACGUAAACCUAAAAAAUUUGAAAUUUAAAGGGGCAAGCAACGCGUUGACCAUCAGUUGACUGAUCGAAAAAAUCAAGAAAUUUCCCAAAAAAUUAGUAAAAAAGUCGAUAAAUUCUAAUAUAUCGGCAAUUUUAUCGAUUUUUUGGCGAAAUCGUCGAACCGAUUAUCACUAAUUGAUUUCGUUAUGGCCACCAUCGAUAAGCGGUUUUUAUCUUUGAUAUUUCAAUGAAAAAUCGUGAAUUUUCAAACAUUGCCUAUAGGUGAGCUCCUAAGGUGGUCACAAAUCCUUAUGAAUUGGGUCACUAUUGAUGGAGGAUAGUGGCAACAAGUAUUCUCAAUAAAGGCACCAUGAUAUUUCAUGGGAGUGAAAUAGUGUGUCCCCUUAAGUAAUCUAAAAGACGUGAUCUAAAAAACUAUGGUCAUAGCAUUUCCUUAAUGAAAAUUUGACAUAUACUCCUUAGAGCUUAGAGUAUGUCAAUUGAUCACAUAAUAGGUGGAAUCUAUAACUUAAGGAUUGGAAAGGUAAUCUUGUAGGUGAUAGCACUACCUAGUUAGAUUACGGACACCAGUUCAUGGAGAGUUUACAUGCAAUGAAUAAGAGGUCAUGGACUUGAAUUUUGUCACAUUAUUAUCUACAUAAGGUACUAGAAUACAAUUAAUUCUCUACAAUAGGAUAUUGAAUCAACUUCAAAAUUGGAUUAUGAGGGAGCUAAUAUUUUCUUAUGGGUCCUAAUAGCCCUCUUUUAAGCUCAUAUACCUUGAUAUCAAGAUUUAUGAAAAUAGGAUAAGCUCUAGGUUUACUUAUAUGCAUAAGGGUGUUUUGGUAAUUAUGCAAGAUUAUACAAGAUUAGUGAACGGUAUCACUGGAUUGGGUUAAUUAAUUAAUUGGAAUGUUAGGUUAAUUAAUCAUUUAUAACCUUUUUUUGGGCUAAGAUUAAGUGACUCAAACCCUUAAUGGGCUCAAGUCACUUAAGCCCAAUGGGAAACCCUAUAAAUAUACCUUAAGGGUUAAAGUUUUUAAUUAGUCAUCUUCCACCAUCAAAAGACUAGAGAGAGCUUGAACUUCCACUCUUUCAUAUACCUCACUAUUUGAGUGCCAAGGAUCGAUGUUAAGUCAUUGGGCGGAAGAUUGUGGGUUUACAAGGCUUUCGACUACUUUGAUUUGUGUCUUCAUCGAAAUGAAUUGAUUUGUGAACAUUCAAAUCAAAGGUAAUGCUUUCUAAUGCACACAUCUAGAUCAUUUUCUAUAUUUGCUUUCGUUGCGUAGGAUCUAGAAACCUUAUGGAGUUUUCAUACACCUAACUUGGUCCUGUGAUAGGGAACGAAAAUAUCUAGAAUUCCUUGCAAUUUUAAUAAAAAAUUGUCUUAUGGAGAAAUUUUUUGGAUUUUCAAAUUCUCUUCUUUUACAUUAAAGCUCCAAUUUAGGAAAUAAACAUUUUUUGGAAGAUUUUCAUAGAGAAUAUUAUAUCCAUUAAGGAAUUAUUAAUUUCAAUUAAAAGCUCUUAUUUGCAAACGAUUAUGUGGAAGAGGGCCUUACCAAAGUCCAUGGCCUCCAUUGUCAAGCCCAUCUUGAUUUGGGUUCAUCACCAUCCCAACAGUGGGCUAAGCCCAAUGAAUCAAGGGAUAUGAAAUUUUCAUACGGAUGAGACUACAUGUCUGUAGUGGGAGCAACCACCCCAACGGUAGAGUUCUUCACUUGGUGGCAUUAAUGUCAAGGACGAUUAUUACACACUUAACUAGGAUAUGAAGUGGUUGAAUCCUCCACCAUAGUCUCCUAUUUGCAUAGUCCAAGGGCUAUACUAAAAAGGUAUGUUGAUCUUGCCUUAGAUACCUCCCAUGGUUAAGGCAAGAAGAUCAGUUUGAGAGGGUCUCUAACUAGUAAUAAGGUCAUGACCUACACAUUGUAGGCUUGAUUCUUAUGAUACUAGGAUAGCUUGCAAAAGGAUAUGUAGUCUUAAGAGUUUUAUAUUUUCGCUAAAUUUAUUUACUUGCUUUUGUGGUGAAUGUUUAAUUUAUUAAUGCAUGGUUUACUUUUCUGUUAUAGAAAUCAUGUCAUAUAAUCCAAUUAAUUUCAUUCUCACUAUUAAUAAAUGGAGUGGACCAACUAUGUAGAUUGAAAAAGAAAUUUGGACAUAUUACUUACAUAAGAGAAGCUAAAAUGGGUAACUCAAGAUUUUGCUCCCAAUACCCCUAAUGAACAUUCCACACACUAAGAGAAAGCUAUAUAUAAUAGGUGGCAUAAGGUGGAUCAAAAGGUUGAGUGUAUCAUACUUAGAUCUUUGGAUAACAUGUUGCAAUAGUAGCAUGUGUCUAUGGUCAUAGCUUAUGAUAUUCUUUUGAGUCUACAAGAGAUGUUUGGUGACAAGGGCAAGUUAGUAAGACAUGUCGCUCUUAAGACUAUUAUAAACACUAGGAUGUCAAAAGGAACUCCCAUUAGAGAUCAUAUUAUUAGUAUGAUCAAACUCUUAAACGAGAUGGAGAUCCUUGAAGCAAAAAUUAAUGAGGAAACUAAGGUUGAUAUGGUCUUAAAGACCUCAUCGGCUUCCUUUAGAUAGUGCAAGCUCAACUAUACUAUGAAUAAGCUAGUAAUGAACUUACCAAAAUCUAAUGAGGAGAUUCUCAAAGACCAAAAGGUUAUUCAUAUGGAAGUCAAGGGUUCUUUAACUUCUUCUAACAAGAAGAAGAAGAAGAAAAAGAGGAAGAAUUCUAAAAGCACCAAACAAAAGGGAAAGUUCAAGAAAUACAAUAAGAAGAGCAAAGGGAAUGGAAAGUGCUUCCUUAAUGGAAAGAAAGGUCAUUAGAAAAAUAAGUGCCCAAAAUUCCCAAAGAAAAAACAAGGUAUGCAUCAUUCACUUUUAGUUGAAUUUUGUUUAGUGGGGAUUCCCUCAACUCUUGGUGGAUAGAUUUUGGGGCCACUAAUCAUAUAUGUAAUUCUUUACAACCAAGGAUAAGUCUGAAUGACAAGGACAUGUACUUGACUCUAACCUCUAAUGCAAGGAUAGUUGUGCAAGUAGUAGAAGACUUUACCCUUAUCUUAGAGAAAACUUGUCUUCUAGAACUCAAAGAUUGUCUUCAUAUUCUUGAGUCUAGAAAGAAUUUGAUUUCAAUUUCUAGUUCAUGUAAUCAAAUUAUUCGAUUUUUUCACUAAAUAAGUUAUUAUUGAAAUCAAUGAUUCAUUUAUAUGCUUAAAAGCAUUGGUUGAUAGUCUUUUCAUGUAACUCAAUUAUCAUUAUUGCUAAGUAAUAAGAAUAAUCAUAUCUCACUUAAAAGAAAGGAACCUAACACUAAUCAAACACAAUUUUGACACUUACGCCUAAGUCAUAUUAAUCUAAUUAGGAUCCAAAGAUUGGUUAAGUCUAAAAAAUUGCACUCUUAAAUUCCAAAGGAUCUUCUAGUCUACAAACUAUAUAGAAAAUAAAAUGACUAAGAAGCCCUUUACUGCUAAGGGAUAUUAAGCGAAGGUGUGUUUGGACUUGGUGCAUACUAAAGUGUAUGAAUCUUUUAAUUUGCAUGCACAAGGAGGGUAUAAGUAUUUCACCUUUACAUAUAAUUACUCUAGGUUUGGAUAUAUUUACUUAAUGCAUAGGAAAUUCAAUAUCUUGAUAAAUUGAUGGAAUUUAACGCGGAAUCGAAAAACCAAUUAGGUAAUCAUAUCAAGACGCUUCAAUCUGAUCAAGGUGGUGAGUAUAUGUCCACCCCGUUUGAUUCUAUCCUUAAAGAGUAUGAGAUCAUAUCUCAAUUAAAUGCACAAGGAACUUCAUAGCAAAAUGGAGUAGUAGAAAGAAGAAAUCGAACAUUAAUGGACAUGGAGAGAUCUAAGAUGAGUUUCUCAUCUCUUCCCAUAUCCUUUUAGUGAUAUGCCUUGGACACUACAGCUUGCCUACUUAACCUAGUGCCUUUCAAGUUAGUACAUUUGACUCACAUGGAGAUUCAAACAAGUUGUAAACCUAUUUUGUGACACAUUCAUAUUUAGAGGUGUUCAGCACACGCACUGAAACCAAAUCCACCCAAAAAACUUUCAAGAGUGUGUUAAUUUAAAAUCAUGAUCUUCAAAAUGCUAAAUACCAUAACUGAUAAUUAAUAUUUUAUGUCUAAAAGGAAAGAUGUCUACUUUUAACAGUUUCAAGUCUAAAAUUAAUUUGACACCUACAACCUAAAAUACAGAUGUUAAAACGGUCAGAGUCCAGAAUUGAAGGGUAAUGCUUAUGAAAAGGAACUCAUACAUGUAAGACAGGUGACUCCGCUGCAAAACUAGUUUUGUUUAUUUGUGAUUUAUCCACACGUCCAAGUUCUAUUUCAUUCGUAACAGCACGGAUUUUUGCCAAAGGUCUAAAUUAGGUUCGAGGAUCAGAAUUGUGACAUGCAAAACGAGAAAAACGGUUACCUUAAAUCAAUGUCAAACGGGAAGCAUUUCUAACACUCCAAAUUUUUUUUCAUUCAAAUUUUUUUUCAUUCAAAUAUUAAAAGGCUAAAAACAUUUCCUUAAAUCAUUAUCAAACACACUCUGAGCUCCCCAAUUACGAAAUGGACAACGAAAUUAAACACUGGUCGAAACCGUUGAAAUGAUUUGAUGCUCAACAUAAAUCGGAAGGAACAGUCUACUAGGCAUAUGCCCAAUCAAAUCAGGCUGUCUUGCUGUCAGCCAAGCUUCUCAUUGUUUCCCAAUUUCCAUAACCAUCCAGGAUAGUUUGCCAUUCACGUUUCUCUCCUUUUAUCCAUUGAUGCAAACAAAAAAGAUUCAACCAACCAAUAAAUAAAUAAAACCAACAAACAGAUGAAAGGCACCAAAAAAAAGUCAUUCCGCAAAAUACCUCUUUGAGUCUCCCACCAACGGCCGGACUUGCUGAGAGUAAAGAUGAUUAUGAGCCCAGAAGGAAGGUGAUCACAAAUACAUACCAUUCUUUUAAGACAUAACUCACUGCAGAGGUUGGAAUGAAAAAGUAAAAUUCACAUUUAAAGUUUAAUAUAUAAGGAAUUUUUCUGUCUGACAGUAUGGUUCAAAAACAUUUGCAACAUUGUUAAAACCAGUGCAGCAAGCAUGCACGAUUCUUUGAAAUAUAUCCAAAAGUAGGUUUCAAUAUUUAAUCAAAUUUACAAUCAUAUAUAUACUGGUUUCCAUGUCCAAAGAAAAGAGCUCAUUGUCUCUCCAAUUCUUUAUUCUCAAAUCAGAUCACAUUUACUAACGCUCUUUCCAUAUGAUAUAAAAAUAUCUAUUGGUCUGAAGAGGGAGACAUAGCAUUACAUCCACAGCAUCUCUCAUAUCUGAAAAGGGAGUUCCCCACCUGUCAUCAAAGAAGCACCUUUCAUGAUGUUAGAAAAUUCAUUGACACAUGGAAAUUUUCUCCGUAAAAGAAAUAAGAACGGAAGCUAUCUGAAUAAUGGUAACAAUGAAAAAUUCAAGAUAUAAAAUUUAAGUAGACUAUCAUUUUUUUUGCAGGUACAAUAAUUUUCAGUAUGCUACAAACUUGAUUAUCAUUUUGUGCCUAUAAUUACACCUUUCAUAUGCUAUACCCAUCUAACAGGUGUUUGUAUUUGCAAAAAAACAAGGAAGUUUCAUGUACUCAAUUGUUGUUUGGCAGAGAGAUUUGGAUCCAUCCUAGUCAAUGAGAAUCCUAGAGAAGGCACUUAGAACCAAUAAAACAAAUGGGUCACUCUGGCCAUGACCUUUAGGAAAGUAGGAACCAUGAACACAACUAUCUAUACAAAUUGAAAUAGAGAAAUCUCACAAAAUCCAAAUCAGAUCCCUUUAUAAAUUGUAACCAUAACUUCCACUCAGCAGUGACUCAGACCAUGGAAGGAAAUGAAUGGAGCAGUUGUCGCACAAGGAGAAUUCGGUUGUCUAUCCUACUUUCAGGGUGAACCCUGGGGCAAAAGAUUUUUGACAUGUCAGAAGGUUCCCUUGUAGAUGUGGCAGAUGAUGUGGAUGAACUGUAUGACAGGGCUGACAACCAAAUGAAGAAAGAAAGCUCACUUAGCUUAUAAAUGCCAAAUUUUGUUGAAAAUUUGACUCACAGGAUUUCCUUAGUGUCUUCAUACUCUGGACAGGGGUUGAUGUUCAUCACAUGAAGGUCAAAAGAUAAGUUGUAUUUUCCAAUAUGAAUCCUGUUGGAAAACCUCAAAGUUGAUGAAAGGACAUUAAAAGCAAGCUUUUCAGACAUAUGACACCCUCCUAUUAGCCAGUUUAUGAUGGAUGAAGUGAAAGUAGCCAGUUUAUGAUGGAUGAAGUGAAAGUGGCCAGUUUAUGAUCAGCAAAAUCGUAUUUGGGAGAGUGAUAUUAAGGAAUUUACAAACAAAUUCAAGGAGCUGGUGACUCAGCUUAAAGGUCUGUCUAAAUUGUGGCUUGGAAUCAAAUUCAUAUAAAUAAGGUGAUCUAAUAUCCUCAAUGCAUUGAAGAAUGAAAAGAGUUAGAAGGCCCCACUUAGCUUCCACAUGGUGAUGAUACGUCAAUUGAGUAUGGGAGACUAAUCCUCUAACUAGUCAACAUUCAUAUAUAGAUAUAGAUAUAUGAGUUCAUGGUCCACAGAAUAAAGAAGCAUAUAGCAUAUCAAUGAACAAGGAGAAACUUGCAUUUUGAUGUUGAAACAAAGGGGAGAACAGAAACAGAAAACAAUGGCACAAAUCAGUGUCCAAGUUAGUUGACCCCUUCACCUUUCCUGCUGAAGGAACACAGUAGCCUUCCCUUAGUAAGCACUCUAUUCCACCUAAGCAAGAAGAAUGAUUAGAGAAAUAGUGUUAUUUUUCAGAUCUUGGUUCUUGAGAAUGAAGCUUACAUGCAUAUUCAGCAUCAAUGUGGUGCCAUGGACCAAUAGCAUUUCUGUUCCACUAACAAAUACGGAUGUUUGGUUUCAGUACAUAGUCCUUAAGACAAUUUGUUUGAUGUUUAGCUUGGUUCACCAUCAUCCUUGGUUAUAUGAAAUAGAUUGGUGGGAAGGCUAGCAUGCUAUUUUGCAUUCAACAAGAAAGUUGUUAGCAAGCCUAUCUUUGGAGAAUAUGGAGAGAUAUAAAAGGAAAAGCCAAGAAUGUAUUGAGAACCAGAAAAAUCCUUCCCAACUUAUUGCUAGGAAGCAAUUUGAAGUGAAAAUGAGAGUUGAAGUUCAGAAUGUAGGGCUAACCAAAGCAAAGAUGCAGCAGUAUCUUUCUGCAUUAAGUAUCCUAUAGAAGGGUCUGAAUUGUCCACCAAAUCUUCAGAUGUUGCAUCAACAAACUCACCAAUUGAUCUAUCCUUAAAUGUCAUGUCCAUUACAAUACUGGCUUGGUCUUUUGGGUUAUCAACCACUGAUAUUAAUGGUGGAAUUUGAGUGCUUUCCAGUAAGGUGCACCACUUGAACUAGUUUUGGUCUGUGGUGCCAUUAUAAAUAUGGAUGGGAUUCAAUAAGGAUGAUAUUUGGUAUUUUAGAAAAAGAAUGCUGGGUAGGGCAUGGGAGCUGAUGACUGCAGAAAGGCCUUGAUACACAUAGAGAGGUCACUACUAGCCAAGUGGGCCUAGUGCUAAAGAUGAAGAAAACUGAGAUCAUGACACGUUUCACAGCUAAACAGUGAAUUGGACAUGCUUUAUCCUACCCUUUGCUUGUCUCACACAUGUAGCCUCGUAUAUAUAGCCCUACCUUUUAUGAAAAAUGGUUCUCCAUUUUUUUCUUUAAUAAUAGAAACAGUUCCACUCUCCCCUGUCCCCUUCCACUGUUCACAUAUCAGGCAAUAUCAGCAUUUGGCAACCCACUAGGGCAAUGACCAUCCAAGAUAGCAUUUAUGCCCAUUUCACCCCAAAAAUACUUGUUCUAGGUGGAGCAAUCUCUAUCACGAUCAGUAGACAAAAGAAAAAUGUCCUCCAGAUCAGAGUAGAAUUACUAGAUUUCUAUGUGCAAUUCCCCAAGCACCCCAAAACUCAUACAUUGCAUUUUAUUCUUAACCAAAUCUUACGUCUUCGAGCUACAAAUGAAAAGAAAUAUUUGACAUACACACCAACAGAAGAUGACUAUGAGCUAGAAAUGUCACAUAGGUUUCCACCACCUACAUAUUAAAUUUAAUUGAGCCUACAAAUUAAGUAAAAAAAGUUAAGGAUAUAAAAUUAUGUACAGGCACACUCAAAACACUUAGUGUUCAUAGGGUAGAAAUCAC